RNAcentral lists this long non-coding RNA (283 nucleotides) under Prunus persica (peach). RNAcentral describes it as "long non-coding RNA (PPER_LNC003972)". Lineage: Eukaryota; Viridiplantae; Streptophyta; Magnoliopsida; Rosales; Rosaceae. The record is from RNAcentral.
AAAAGGAUGCGCCAAUGCAUAGGUGCCAAGUGUCAAACAAGUACAGCAGCACGGCUAUACUAUUUCUUAUUAAAAAAACAGAAAAGCCGAGUAUAGCCACGCGGCUAUACUAUUUGUUUCAGAAAAUUAAAAAAAGGAUAUAGUACAGCCGGCUGGCUAUACUAUUCCCAGCGCCUGUGCCCCACGUGUCAAACCAGUACAGCCGACCGGCUAUACUAUUUUAAUAUGUAUAUUAUUUUUAUUCAACAAUACGUGAGUAUUAUGUGUAUAAUACUUGAAUUUU